Long non-coding RNA from Thamnophis elegans (Western terrestrial garter snake), 4451 nucleotides. RefSeq lists it as uncharacterized. NCBI's taxonomy places the organism in Eukaryota, Metazoa, Chordata, Lepidosauria, Squamata, Natricidae. The transcript has 2 exons. The record is from RefSeq and is a predicted model, not a curated record.
UGCGGUUGAGAUAGUAGAUGCAGGUGGACGCAGCGCCGUCUCCGUGGGGUGUGUCCACGUGCCGCACGUAGCCCAGGCCAUUGCCCGGUAACAGGCCACCAUGGCCUGGGAGGCAGGAGGAGAGGAGGGAAGGGGAGGGUGAGCAGUGGCAAGUCCAGUAGGGCUGCCCGCAGAAGGCCACCCCCCCCCGCCCCUCCAGGUGGUCCUCACAGCCAAGGACCUCCCUGGCAAGGCACUUCCCAGCAUUCCAAAGCAGAGCAAAUCUUCCGCCACCAUCAAACAGGUGCCGAGGCGGAAUCCUGAGCCUCGCUGGUCUCAGAGCUGUUUGACCCCACAUACCCUCCCUGCAGGCCACCCCAGUCACAGGAGGCAAGGGCGGGCAAGAUGCUCUCCUUUCAGAGUGUUGGAAAUAAAUCCUUACAAAAAACUUGGAUCGUAAGAAAUGAAUUUUAUUAACAAAAAUAAAAGGAAACAAAAACUUGAACUUGAACUUGAGCAAGACUUUAACUGUAAGUUCUAGCCCCAACACACUCCUGGAUUCAAAAGGAAGGGUUUUCAUAAGUGGUCCUAAGGCGACUCCCCUUCCCCCCCCUUUGGUCCCAUGAAUACGUCCUCAGGGGUUACAACUAAUGCGAGGAGCCUAUUAAGAAUACAUUAACCCUCCCCCCCCCUUCCUGCCCAAGUGCGGUUGCAGUUUUAAUCCCCAGCUAAUCUCCAAAGGUCAGAGGCUUUUAUUUUAGCAUUCCCUACAAGAGGAAAACCCCAGCCACACACAACAGAGAGACUCUAACCAGAGAGGUUUCUCCUUCAAAUCCAAGGUGGACAAAGCUGGACUCAAGAUAUGCUCAGAGGCAAAAGUUAUUUGCAGGAGCUGUUUGCGAGGGCCCUCACCAUGAAUUGUGGUUCAUAUGAACACUGGGGGAGGGGGGAAAGGCCACUGCAAGAGGCAUCUGCCCUCCCUGCCCCCCAAGCCCACCUCUUCCUUGGGCAGCCAGAGGCGCUGCAGCAGGGAUCCUCUCCCCACGCAGGACAGGAGCAGCCUGUCCAGGAACACCGGAGGACAUCCAGUCCUGGUGAGGCCGGACCUGCUCCCUCCCAGCUGGGCUGCUGCCAGCCACGUGAUGGAUGUUCCUGGCAAGGUCACCCGAGGACAGAGGGGAGGAGAUGCCAACUGAGGGAGCCUUCUGACCAGGCCGCAAAAGGAGGCAAAGGCAGGGCUGGUUCCUGAGGGGCUCCCAGGCUCCUCUUAUCACUUCAGGGAGGGGGGGGGGGGCGGCUGUUAGGCCAGGGUCCCUCUGGGGCUGGCAAAGGGGGAUCCUCUUCUGAGUCAGAGAGUGCUGGUGGACAGGGCCAGUUAAGGACAGGAAUCCACACAGCAUGCCCAGGCUCUGUCCUAAUCCUCACCCAUGUGCCCCACAGCCCCCCUCGCUUCCUCCCCCUUCCUCCAGGACUCAGCCCAACCACAGGUCUCCAAAGGGGCAGGGGGGGAGGGGUUGGAGACCCUUAUUUCCCUGAAAUCCACAGCAGGAAAGAUGCAGGAUGGCUGCUCCCAUCACCCCAUCGGCCACAGCUGCCCGUCUCUCCCCAGAGCUCUGCCCUGUGUGUGGCAAACCACUGGUGCAGCCCCCCACCCCCUGGCUCCAACGUUUUGGGAAGUGAAAACCAUAGGCUGCUACCCAGCCAGGGUCUCCCUGAAGGCCCCCCCAACACCACCAUCCCAAGUGUUUAGAGGGGGCUUCUAAGCCCACCCAGUUUCAGCCAGCAGAGGCCUGUCCAGUUCUUCCUCUGAAUUGAAAACACAGGGGGGGGGUCCGUUUUUGGGAGCUGAGCUAAGAGGCACCUUCACUUUCAGAUCGCAGCCGAGUGAGAGUCACGUGUGGCCAAGAGAGGCUCCUUCCUGGAAGCUCUUGGUGGGUCCCUGCCACCCACUUGACCUGUGGAUUUGGAGGAGGAGAUAAAGAACUUUCAUUCAGAAGAGGAGCCCCAUGAUUAACUGGGAAACUUGUCUUUUAAUUGUUGCUCUUUAUUUUUGAUAACGUUUCCCUAUUUGUCUUUUCUAAUUUCUGUUCAGUUACAGGCAAAAAAUGUGAUAAAGCAUGGAGAACUCCAGUAAGGAUUCAGUCUGAGUUAAAGUACUACAGGAUCAUUCCUUGAUACGGUUAAUUGCAUAUAUGUUCUGAGUUGACGGCUUCUUGUUACCCUGCUGAUUUGUUAUUAAAAGGGCUACAGAAUUGUCUUCAGUGAGGACGGCUGCUUCCUCAUCCCUCCCUCCCUAUCAUAAAGGACAGGAUCAGCUUCUGAGAAUAAGAGAGUCCUGAGGAUUCUCCUGUCCUUUGAAAAAAUGAAAAGGGCCAUGAAAAAUGCCUGUUUCUCCCUUGGAGUUCUUUUGCCUCCCUCCCAGGAGUUCUUCCCCUCCCUGAGGGCAAACGGCAGGGCUCACUCCUCUCCCCAUCUGGGGGUGGCAGGUUGGGGAUUCAGGUCUCUUUGGAAAAAUUAAAAAGACGACUGCACACAAGCAGGGACAUUUGGCAAACAGCUGUAUGGCCACCAAGCCUAAGCUGUCCGUGAGAGGGAAAGAUCCAUCGCCCACGUUAAGCAAAGGAGGGAGCAAAUUAGCUUUUUGACUGGAGAAGCGAGGGAGGAUUUCCGCACUUCCCAGCUGAGGACGGUUCUAAAAGAAGGUUGCAGAAAUCAUGGGGGAAACGGCUCCUGCCACCACCAGAGGGCCCGAUGGAGACGCAGAAGAAUUCUGGGAGCUGAAGUCCACAAGGCUCCGAACUGCCCUGGGUGGAGACCUCUGCUCAGGAGAGCAGCUCCUUCCCAAGGCCCAGCCCGGCUUCACUCUUGGCGGGGAUGAUGGGUUAGCUGGGGGCCCUGCGGGUGAGAUUCCCCAAGCAGGUCAACCGCGGUUAUAAACCAUGGCAGCCUCGUCCCUUCUUCCCCCACAAGCAGCGCUGAUCUCGACCCACGCAGCCGCCUGCCCUCUCCUGGAGCAGCCUUCGGCCCUUCUGCUUAGCUACCAUAUACACAUAUUGCUUCGAAAGGAAAAAGGCAUCACAAUUCUGGCAUGUAAAAGGGGGGGAAAACGUUUAUGUAUGAGCAGCAAUUUCACAGCCUCAAAGUUGGAGGGAAUGUUUGCGUUCAUAGAAAAAAUAAAAUAAACCGGAAGAUUUAAGUUUUAAACUGCGUAUAACUGUCAGCUGUCCCACUCUGGAUGGAAGGGAGUCCCCCUCCUCCUUCAAAGCUGAAGCGAAUCAAGCCGGGCAAAGGAGGGCAGGGACCCCACCUGCAAAGCCAGCCCCUUCCUGCCCUUCACACAGGAGAAUAAAUAACAGAGAGAAACACGACACUUAAAAAUAAAAUCCAAGCCCCCCCCCCUGCCCCCCCCCCCGUUUCACCUUCCUUUCUGCUCAGGAGAGGAAUGCGAAACCUUCCCAGCACACAAGUGGCGGCCACAGAGAUUCCUACACCCUGGUGGAAAACAGAAGCAGACCCCACCUCCAGCUCCCCAUCUUCCCAUUAGGUGGUUAUAAAACUGGGAGGGGAGGAAGCCCCAACUCAGAGCACCGCCUCUUCCUGCAAGGGGGGCAACCACCCAUGGCCAGAAGGAACUGCCAGCUCAACCCUGCGAUCCCACCUUCCUUCCUUCCUCGCUCAGUCAACCAGGAGGACGUGUGGCCCAGCAAACUCCUCCAAGCCCACCAUCUGGACCCAGGCCUCAUUCUGGACGGCUGCCAAAAACCAGACCCCUGCGGACCCAUGCACAUGUGGGUUCAACACACAGGGAGGCAGCUCCUGGCCCACUGGAGAAAGGGGGCGGGAGGGAGAGGGGCAGGCAGUGCCAGAGGGUUGAGAGAGACUAUUGUAAUGCGGGGAGGGGGAACCCUCCUCCUCCUCAGAGCUGGGGCCUCUCAAGAGAUCCCUCCCAAACCCCCCCCCCCUUCCUCUGCAGGACCCAGGCGGGGCCGAGGGACCACGCACAGCAAGUCUGGGAACACUGGCCACGGGAGGGAGGGAGGGACUGGGGGCAAUUCCAUAACCUGGUAGGCUUCCCCCAACUCCUUAUGACAAAUUCAGGCUGGGCUCUCUGGCUGCUUUGUCAAACGUGGGACGUUUGCCGCUCAAAGGCUCCGGAGCUCCGUCCGUCUUGCAACACUUGAGAGGAGGCCGGAAUCCAAGCUCACCCAAACGGAGGGCCGGGGGGGGGGGGGCCAAUAGCCCCACAGCUUCCUCCACAGCCGGGAAGAGGGAUUUUUCCGCCAGCACUGUGGCUUCCUUGCUGUAGACUCAGCCCAGAGUAAAUCACCAGGAAAGAGCUCAAAGAAAUUGCCGAAGGGAGCAUUUCUCGCUCCAUCAACAGUGCACAAAAAAAACCUCCCACUGGCCUUGGCCUGGCCCAGCCUCUGCAGCCCAGGAAAAGGGGGGGGGCUACAGGCAGAGGCAACGGCCGA